ACACACUACCUCAUCUAUGGGGAAGGGUUUCAGACUUGGGAAUAUUCCCCAGCAUAUGCCAUUCGCUCCUAUGCUUACCUGUUGCUUCAUGCCUGGCCAGCUGCAUUUCAUGCAAGAAUUCUACAAACUAAUAAGAUUCUUGUGUUUUACUUUUUGCGAUGUCUUCUGGCUUUUGUGAGCUGUAUUUGUGAACUUUACUUUUACAAGGCUGUGUGCAAGAAGUUUGGGUUGCACGUGAGUCGAAUGAUGCUAGCCUUCUUGGUUCUCAGCACUGGCAUGUUUUGCUCAUCAUCAGCAUUCCUUCCUAGUAGCUUCUGUAUGUACACUACGUUGAUAGCCAUGACUGGAUGGUAUAUGGACAAGACUUCCAUUGCUGUGCUGGGAGUAGCAGCUGGGGCUAUCUUAGGCUGGCCAUUCAGUGCAGCUCUUGGGUGCCUGUGGUGGUCAUUGACAGCUACUAUUAUGGGAAGUUGGUGAUUGCACCACUCAACAUUGUUUUGUAUAAUGUCUUUACUCCUCAUGGACCUGAUCUUUAUGAUUGAUAUCAGUAAAUGCCAUUAUUUAGUGGAUUUGGACACCAUGAGAGAAACACCCCGGGAGCCAAAAUAUUCAUCCAAUAAAGAAGAAUGGAUCAGCUUGGCCUAUAGACCAUUCCUUGAUGCUUCUAGGUAUGUGGCUUUAAUCCUAUGGGA
This 692-nucleotide long non-coding RNA is filed under the name Homo sapiens (human). RNAcentral's name for it is "non-protein coding lnc-ALG9-3:3". The record is from RNAcentral. Lineage: Eukaryota; Metazoa; Chordata; Mammalia; Primates; Hominidae.